This 299-nucleotide long non-coding RNA is filed under the name Capsicum annuum. RNAcentral describes it as "long non-coding RNA (CANN_LNC021424)". Lineage: Eukaryota; Viridiplantae; Streptophyta; Magnoliopsida; Solanales; Solanaceae. The record is from RNAcentral.
CUACCAUGUCAGAUGUUUUACAAUCUGGAGUAGCUUCAACAUUGAUUCUUAGAGACGAAACAUCAGCGUUAAGCAACUGUUGUUGUUGCUGCAAGUUAAGCACAUGGUGGUGAUGGUGAUGGUAGUGAUGGUGAACUUGGAACUUCUGGUGCAUCGCUCUUACUUGGCCCGGGGCUGCCUUUGCAGCAUCUUGAUUUCCUGGAACCAUAUGUUAUGUAGAAGAAUUGUUUCCAUGUUGUACUGGUUGAAAUGCAGAACAGGGAUGGGCAUUGACUGCAGGUUUAUUUAUUGGCUUGUCA